This 362-nucleotide ribosomal RNA is filed under the name Enterobacter hormaechei subsp. xiangfangensis. RNAcentral's name for it is "partial 23S ribosomal RNA". It matches the Rfam family "Bacterial large subunit ribosomal RNA", at positions 1678 to 1966 of the family's 2925-position model. Lineage: Bacteria; Pseudomonadati; Pseudomonadota; Gammaproteobacteria; Enterobacterales; Enterobacteriaceae. The record is from RNAcentral.
AUACCAAGGCGCUUGAGAGAACUCGGGUGAAGGAACUAGGCAAAAUGGUGCCGUAACUUCGGGAGAAGGCACGCUGAUAUGUAGGUGAAGUCCCUGCGGACGGAGCUGAAAUCAGUCGAAGAUACCAGCUGGCUGCAACUGUUUAUUAAAAACACAGCACUGUGCAAACACGAAAGUUUGGUGGGUCGUGCAGGAUUCGAACCUGCGACCAAUUGAUUAAAAGUCAACUGCUCUACCAACUGAGCUAACGACCCCUUACGGGAUGUACUUCAAAUCUAUUCAGGCUGGUGGGUCGUGCAGGAUUCGAACCUGCGACCAAUUGAUUAAAAGUCAACUGCUCUACCAACUGAGCUAACGACCCA